RNAcentral lists this unclassified non-coding RNA (290 nucleotides) under plant metagenome. RNAcentral's name for it is "partial contains small subunit ribosomal RNA and internal transcribed spacer 1". The stretch from base 1 to 46 matches the Rfam family "Eukaryotic small subunit ribosomal RNA", at positions 1786 to 1831 of the family's 1831-position model. The record is from RNAcentral.
CAGUCGUAACAAGGUUUCCGUAGGUGAACCUGCGGAAGGAUCAUUAUCGAAAGCGCGAAGUGUUGGUUGUGCUGGCUCUCGCAAGUGCACGCCCCUUCAACCUCUCUCAACCCACUGUGCACCCUUUGUGGAUCCUGGAUACCCGUCGAAGCCUUCACCGGCUUCGGAUGGGAGGGUUGCGCCUAACACGCGCUCUCCUCCGGUUUCCAGGUCCACGUCUUCACACACUUUAAAAUGAAAGCGACAGAAUGUAAACCGAGCCCGAGAGGGUUUCUUAAAAAAUCAUACAA